This 242-nucleotide long non-coding RNA is filed under the name Lathyrus oleraceus (garden pea). RNAcentral's name for it is "Pisum sativum (pea) long non-coding RNA (PSAT_LNC031954)". Lineage: Eukaryota; Viridiplantae; Streptophyta; Magnoliopsida; Fabales; Fabaceae. The record is from RNAcentral.
UUAAUAAUUGGUCGCCCUAUAAUCAUGUUAUAAGUAUAGGGGCACCUAUAACAAGAUACAUGCCCUUGAUAUCCUUGGCUUGUUCUCCUAACCUGAAUGUGGUCUUCAGUAUGAUGUAGCCUUUCACUUCCACUAGCUCCCCAGAGAAUCCCACUAUUGAUCCCUUUACAGCCUUUAAGUCGUUUGGUCAAGGCAGAGAGCCUAUCGAGUGCGCCCUAGUAAAUGAUAUUCACAAAGCUCCC